CCUACGGGGCGCAGCAGUGGGGAAUAUUGGACAAUGGGCGAAAGCCUGAUCCAGCCAUGCCGCGUGUGUGAAGAAGGCCUUCGGGUUGUAAAGCACUUUCAGUGGGGAAGAAAGCCUUGGGGCUAAUACCCUCGAGGAAGGACAUCACCCACAGAAGAAGCACCGGCUAACUCCGUGCCAGCAGCCGCGGUAAUACGGAGGGUGCGAGCGUUAAUCGGAAUUACUGGGCGUAAAGCGCGCGUAGGCGGUCUGAUAAGCCGGUUGUGAAAGCCCCGGGCUCAACCUGGGAACGGCAUCCGGAACUGUCAGGCUAGAGUGCAGGAGAGGAAGGUAGAAUUCCCGGUGUAGCGGUGAAAUGCGUAGAGAUCGGGAGGAAUACCAGUGGCGAAGGCGGCCUUCUGGACUGACACUGACGCUGAGGUGCGAAAGCGUGGGUAGCAAACAGGAUUAGUACCCCAGUAGUC
RNAcentral lists this ribosomal RNA (464 nucleotides) under Vreelandella stevensii. RNAcentral describes it as "partial 16S ribosomal RNA". It matches the Rfam family "Bacterial small subunit ribosomal RNA", at positions 338 to 795 of the family's 1533-position model. The record is from RNAcentral. Lineage: Bacteria; Pseudomonadati; Pseudomonadota; Gammaproteobacteria; Oceanospirillales; Halomonadaceae.